Molecule: ribosomal RNA, 245 nt
Filed under: Rhizopus arrhizus
Lineage: Eukaryota; Fungi; Mucoromycota; Mucoromycetes; Mucorales; Rhizopodaceae
Description: partial large subunit ribosomal RNA
Source: RNAcentral
GCCUGCCAACUAUUUUUCACUUGAGGGAAAAAACUAAGAAAAAUGUGCUUUCUUGAGGGUGUUAUACCCCCUUGAAAAUACCUUGGGUUGGAUUGGAGAACGGUGUGCCCUCGGGUGGCGAGUUUUCACCUUUUGUUUUCUGAGUGGUGGCGUGGGGUUUUGAUCUUUUUGGGUUACUUCUAUUCGCUUACACAGUUGGCUUAAUGACUCUAAAUGACCCGUCUUGAAACACGGACCAGGAUCAA